Molecule: ribosomal RNA, 533 nt
Filed under: uncultured bacterium
Lineage: Bacteria
Description: bacterial SSU rRNA
Rfam family: Bacterial small subunit ribosomal RNA
Source: RNAcentral
UCCAUGUGUAGCGGUGAAUGCGUAGAUUAUAUGGAAGAACACCAGUGGCGAAAGCGGCUCUCUGGUCUGUAACUGACGCUGAGGUUCGAAAGCGUGGGUAGCAAACAGGAUUAGAUACCUUGGUAGUCCACGCCGUAAACGAUGAAUGCUAAGUGUUGGAGGGUUUCCGCCCUUCAGUGCCGCAGCUAACGCAUUAAGCAUUCCGCUAGGGGAGUACGAUCGCAAGAUUGAAACUCAAAGGAAUUGACGGGGGCCCGCACAAGCGGUGGAGCAUGUGGUUUAAUUCGAAGCAACGCGAAGACCCUUACCAGGUCUUGACAUCUUUUGCCAGGAUGAGAGAUCAGCUGUUCCCUUCGGGAACAAAAUGACAGGUGGUGCAUGGUUGUCGUCAGCUCGUGUCGUGAGAUGUUGGGUUAAGUCCCGCAACGAGCGCAACCCUUAUUGUCAGUUGCCAGCAUUUAGUUGGGCACUCUGAUAAGACUGCCGGUGACAAACCGGAGGAAGGUGGGGAUGACGUCAAAUCAUCAUGCCCC